AUCUGUUCCAGGAACAUUGUGUCAUAGUUAGCUGCAUUAUAAAGAGGUGAAAUAAUUGGUUAUUCAGUCAGUGAUUCUACUGGAUUAAAAACAAGACAGGUUGGUAAUGAUCCAGCCAAAGUGAAUAAAAAGAGAACAGAUUACAGAUCCUUAUAAAGAUGUACACAUCCAGCAUUGGGAUAACAGAGGAAGGAAGAGCCUAUUUGGAGAGAAAUACAAUGUAAGUGAAUUUGGUAUUAUAGUAUCAGGCGAUACAAUGCUAUUGUACUGUAUUCCACACUCACAC
RNAcentral lists this long non-coding RNA (286 nucleotides) under Felis catus (domestic cat). Its description in RNAcentral is "lncRNA (ENSFCAG00000050653.1)". Lineage: Eukaryota; Metazoa; Chordata; Mammalia; Carnivora; Felidae. The record is from RNAcentral.